UGUGAGUGCAGUUACCCAUUUGUCUUGUUCAAUUGUCAAAACAAAACAAAACAAAAAAAAAAAAAAAAACUGAAUAUGAUGCGUAUGGGUUGUUGCAUGCUACAACCAGCCCAAUUCCAUUAUAGGUUGUGCUGGAUCUCCGAGUGCUCAGAAUGAAGAUACAAAAGAUUGUUGCCAAAUUGAAGAUUAGUAAGGAAAUUAAGGCUGUGUUAAAUUGUUAGAAUAAUACCCCUAAUGCCUUCCACAGAAAUACUUCCUUUCAUCAUUCAAAUUCUGGCAUCCUGUGAAAAACUACUCGUGCAAGUGCCACAACACGAGUAAUCACAGCCAUUGAGAGAAUUUCAAAUUUCUGUCCAAUUACUGCUAGCAGGACUUUGAGAACAACGAUGUACAAGUUAUGUUGUCCUACAGAAGUAAUUUCUCCAGUGGUAGCUAUGUUUUUCACAUUAUAACUUAAGGCAGAUGAAGAUGUUACAGAAUUUUACAAUUCAACAAUGAACUGGUUGUGAUGUUUAUAAGGAUUAAAAGUUGAAUGCUACUGGGAUGUACUAAUAUUGGUCAAGUCACAAAUUGUAAUUGUUGUUGUUGUUAGCUGCAUCAGCCAGAUUGGCUCAGAGCUACUCAUCUUCCAUAGCCCUAAAUAAAUCUUUACAAAAUAUUUGCCAAUUACAAAAAGAGGAGGAGGAAACCUUCAAAAUCAGUUAGUUAAAGCAUAAUGAUCAAGGUGUCAGUGCCUUGGGAUAAGUGAUUGGGACUUUCUGCCAGUGAAUUGCAAAUUCCAUUGUGAUUUUUUUUAUUGAAAAUAAUUUGUUUUCGGAAAACUAAAUUAAAAAUAUGAAAUUAUAAAUAUUUUAUUGAAAUAAUAAAAAUGGGUCACAUUUAAUUUUUUUUAAUGAUUAUAAAAAAAAACCAUAUCUAAAGGAGCCUUCUUAUAGUCAUUUAAGGUUCCCAUUAUUUGCCAUUGUAUAUGUGACUAUUGUGUGAACUUGUCAAUCAUUGACAAAAUGAGUACAAAUUAUAGUGCAUGUUCCUGAAUUAAUUUUUAUCCUAAGAGUACAAGUCCACAUUGCACAUAUAUAAUUUGUAUAUUGUGCUAAUAUAUACAAAAAAAAAAAUCCACUAUUGUUUUAUGUUGAUAUGAUUAUAGUGGAUUGGCAAUGUGAGAGUGCUCUGAGUGGCAGCUAUGUAUUCGUAUUUGGCUUUGUAAAUAUUUAUAACUGUAUAGUAAAUUGUUCUUUGUUUGUAUCCUUUGAGAGAAUUGAUUUCCUGGUUAUUCUCAUAGCCCUGAUUGCACUGAUCUUGUUGACAAUUUGCAAGAAAAGUUGCAUAGCUUGCAGUAAUUGUGAUGGUUUAUAAGCUAACGCACAUCUUUUCCUAUGAGUGCUCAUACCAUUGUGCAAGAGGUGUGGAAUUCAAUGACCUAGUCUGAUCAUUCCACUUUAUGUAUACUUACAGUGAGACCAGAUAGGAUUGAAAAGAUUGCUAUUUGGUGGCAAAUUGUACUCUUUUUUGUGUAAGAGCAGAUUUUUACAUAAAAGCAAGUGUAUUUAAAUGCCCUUGAUUGAAAUAUUUCCAGAAUAUUGGAAAGCAAGUUCCCAAUACAUAAUGAAAGGGAAAGUGCCACUUCUAAAGAAGUACCAUACGCAUCAGGAUACUGUGAUUUCAGGAAUACAAUUUUAAUAUCUAUAGCUUAAGUAAAACAGAUAACAAAGUAUUACACUCCUCAUUAUGUGCAAAAUUUCAAUUGUUUAGGAUUAGAAGAAAACUGAACAGCAUUGAAAUACAUUGGUGAUCUGAUGGUGUGUGAUUGUGAUUGGACAAUCAAUGCUAUUGUAGCUUCGUGUUGUGAAGUCUACCACCAAACUGUGAAUCAAUAAAUUACAAAGAAAUUUGCUCAGCCACAUUUGUCAAUGAAAAGAUUAAUACCUCGUGUGCCAAAGUUUUUGAGAUUGUUAAGAUUGUUUGCUGUUAGUCUCUUCAGUUGGUAGAUUAAAAACCUGCCAUGUUACAGCUUUAACUCCAAAGAAAACUUGCUUCCUUUUGUCAAGAGUUUACAGUUGGAGCCAUAAGUUUGAAGUUCUUGCCAUUUGCUGUCAAAUUUAGCGUUGUCUUAUUCUUUUUUAUUAUUUUUUAAAUUAAAUUGUCUAGUUGUUUAUAAAUAAUUGUGCAGCCAGAGUAGUUUAUAUGUAUAUAUAUAUAAGAUUUGGAUUUUAUCUGAGGUUAUAAAUUUAUAUCCUAAGAGAUCUGCCUAUUUAUCAGGUGCAAUCGAAUCAGUCCUGCCGGAGGAAAGGUAAGUUUUGAAUAUCACAAUGGAAAUAAAUGUUGAUGUGAGAUCAUAAAAUUUAUGUGCUGUCAAGGGCAAAAAACGUGCUAUGCAGUCUGACUAUCUUGCCUAGUCAUGAUUAUAAACUAUUUGCACAAAUUAGAAAUACAAUAUCUUCGUAUAUUUAAACUAAAUACUUCCCAAAGAUCUGCAUGUUAAAAUGCCAGUUCAAGCCCUCCACAUUUUCAUGUCCUGAUGCUAUAUACUCCUGGCGAAGGUAAGUCGGUUGUCUAAUGAUUCUCCCCAUCCCCCACCAUGUGCCUUCGACUUUUUGCUGACUUUAUCGAUGGGUCACACAGAUCCUGGCAACGAACCUGCCAAUUCAGUGGAACUUUGUAAACUGAACGGGAGAGAAAUAAUAAUAAUAAUUAUAGGCAAAAGCAGUUUAUUUAUGUACCAAAUAACAGUAUGAUGGUCAUUCAGCAUUCACUUUUGCAGCCAUUUCACUUAUGUUUGUGCAGGCAUAUUGUCACUGCCUAAUUCAUCUCUUGUCAGCUCUUCUGAUUUUUGCAAGAGCUGUGAUCUCCGGCUUAAUUUAAUUUCUCUCCUCCUUUUUGCAUCAUAUGGAGCUGAAAAAUGGUGUGAGGGACAUAACCAACUACUGUUAAUACCUCGUCUAUAUGUGCGUGUUUGUAUUUGUAUGUGUGUGUAUAUAUGUGUAUUUAGUGGGGAUUUCAUUAGGGAUGGUGACGAAAAGUUGCCAUAUUUAUGUAGGGGAUUUCAGAAUAUAGAAAAUAUUGUCAUUGAUGUAGUUUAUGUAUGUAGUUUAUAUUGCUUAUAUAUAUAUAUAUAUAAUUAUUUUUUUGUUUGUUUUUUGUUUUUGCACAGAGCCC
RNAcentral lists this long non-coding RNA (3156 nucleotides) under Androctonus crassicauda. The record is from RNAcentral. Lineage: Eukaryota; Metazoa; Arthropoda; Arachnida; Scorpiones; Buthidae.